UACGUAUGGACCGAGCGUUGUCCGGAAUCAUUGGGCGUAAAGGGUACGUAGGCGGCCUAGUAAGUUAGAAGUGAAAGAAUAUAGCUCAACUAUAUAAAGCUUUUAAAACUGUUAGGCUUGAGAGAUGAAAGGGAAAGUGGAAUUCCUAGUGUAGCGGUGAAAUGCGCAGAUAUUAGGAAGAAUACCGGUGGCGAAGGCGACUUUCUGGUCAUCAUCUGACGCUGAGGUACGAAAGCGUGGGUAGCAAACAGG
This 252-nucleotide ribosomal RNA is filed under the name bacterium. Its description in RNAcentral is "partial 16S ribosomal RNA". It matches the Rfam family "Bacterial small subunit ribosomal RNA", at positions 524 to 776 of the family's 1533-position model. The record is from RNAcentral. RNAcentral also lists the same sequence under 1 other name.